UCUCAUUCUGCUGUAAACUGGAGUUACAUACAACUUCGUUUUACCUUCAUAAAUACUGCUCUUUUGAUUUCCUAUAUAAUUAGCUAGAUCUGAUAUCUCGUGUUCUUGUUUUUCUAGUUGGAGAAGAUUCAGAAAGAAACUGCUCUCCUUCAAGAACUGGAAGAUCUAGAACUGGGUCUCUAAAGCUUCGUGUAAUAAUCCUCUUCCUGCCUCAGCGCUCUGAAGGCGCAAAGGGCUUUCGAACUGUGGACGGCAGCAAGUCUGCCGGGAAAGGAGCGUUGGAGGCGUUCAGGAGAUGUCCUCACCCACGCGGCGCUGCCGCGGGA
RNAcentral lists this long non-coding RNA (326 nucleotides) under Struthio camelus australis. RNAcentral's name for it is "lncRNA (ENSSCUG00000010863.1)". The record is from RNAcentral. Lineage: Eukaryota; Metazoa; Chordata; Aves; Struthioniformes; Struthionidae.